UGAUCUCUCAAAAUCCCAUUUAACUGUCAUAACACCCCCCUCCCCCCCCAAACCAAGAGACCUUCCCCUUUCACCAUCUUCAUCACCUCUCUGAGCUUCCGCCAACAGGCGCUGCCGGAAAUCACCCACAGCGGCAGCCAGUCACGAAAUCACCCCAAUCUUUACCACAUAGUCCCCACACCUCCCUCCUCACUAGUAUCUCACUAAUUUUUCCAAAAUCCCCACCCAUCUUCUCCAAUUUCGGAUAUAAGAAAGUCAGAAAAAACCUAAAUUUGAUUUUUAUGGAAAUUUCAAGAACGUUUUGGGUCAAACUUACAUCUUACAUGAGUUGAUUGCUCUUGACACGAGCAAUCGAUUCAUGAUAGUUUGGUUCAUUUUGAAAGUCACCGGAUGGUAUUCCCAUGGCAAUGACCGCCAAAGUUUCAUCGCCUUCAUCGUUCGUCGAUAUUCAUUUCUGGACAAAAUCAGUAUACCCCUCCUCUCUUGUUCCUUUGUUUCUUUUUCUUUUUCUGUUUUGAAAUUAUCAGUUAAUGUUUUAAUUUCUUAUUUAUUUUGUUUAAUUGAUUCCAUUGUCUAGCUAAUUGCGGGAUCGUUACUUUAAUCGCAUAUGUUUAGGCUAAUCAAAUUAGUUCGGUGAUUUAGUUAGGUUUAACUAGUAGUUUUGUUUCUGUUCUGUUUGGUCUUUGAUUUGGUUUUAAUUGUUUGUUUGUUAAUGUUGAGUAUCAAUUGGAAUUAAAUGGUUGAAAGAGUAAUAAUAGAAACUUUAAGGGAGUUAAUUGGAAGCUAAAAUCAAGAAAUCUAAGGCAGUAAUACAUAAAAUUGCUAAAUGAGGGAUUAAAGUGCAAUAAAUUAAUUAAGUUAAAUCAGAUUUUUGGAAAAAAAGUUGAAUUUUCAGAAGUUUAAAAGAGUUAAAAUGAAAAGAAACUUCUAGAAAGGGACAGCUGUCCCAAUAUUGUUUAGAUAAGAUGCAAAAUUUAAGUACAUCUAUCCGUACAAAAGAUGUCAUUUACCUGAAUUUAAGGAAAGCUGGCAGAUUCUUUUGUACCUGAUUUUAUUCCAUCAUAAGGUUUUCACAUAUUCUAUAUAAGGAGGGCACUUGCUGAAUUUUCGGACAGACUUGACACACGAUUUACACAAGAAAAACCCUGAGAAAUUCAGAGAUUGGUUUCUCCAUUUUCAUUGUGAGUCUUUUAUUCUUCUGGGUUUGAAAGCUAGAAAGAGAAAACAGAAAACAAAGAAAAAUAGAGAUUUUCGGACUGCUUUUCUUCUCCAUAUUUUACUGGUUUUCUCCAUGUUGCUGGGAUUUUUGGAUUGAGGUGUGAAGCUGUUGUAUUGGAUUUUCUGAUGCUGUAUUUUUGCUGUUGCUUCUUCCCAGUUUUCAGAGAUCUAUUUUCUUUUUUAUUGUCUAUUCUGCUGAUAAAGGUACACAUCUAUGAACUCACAUGUUUGAAUUGGGCAUAAUCAAGUGUUCUUCUGUGAUUUUUCAGGCAUUUAUGGUGUCUUUAGUGAUGUGGUGUUUUAGAUUUCACGUGAAAGGUUGUAAAUGUUUAAGUGAAUGAAAUUGAAAUCUGCUUGACCUUAUUAUUUUAUUAUUGCCCUUCAACUUCUCUAAAGCAUAUGCUAUCUCUGUUAGGUCAUGUUCUAAUAUCCCAGACUAUUUUGAGCAUGAAUUCUAGUUCAAAUAUGUUCCUAAUGUUGUACUAAGUAAUGUUGGUAGUAAAAUCGUGACAGGAAAAGGUUAUUGCUGCAAUAAACAUGGUUGUAAUUUAUAGAGGUGACUACUAAGUUGGCUAAAUCGGUGAAGCCAAACUCGGCCAUCAGAGGUGUUUGAAAUCAUUGCAUAUUUUUCUCGAUUGAAUUUUUUUGAUGUUUGGGACUGUAAUAUGAAACUUUGACAUGUAAUUGUAAUUGAAAUGAUUUAUGAAGUUAAAUGUUAGAGUAAAGAUUUGAUUGCAAAGUACAAAUGCAAUGGCAAUGACUCCAGUCGAUUAUUUUUCUGUUGUAUGUUAAAAAAAAUGUUCAACAAUUAGUGUUAGAAAUGUUAAUAAUUGUGCAGUCUGGCCUAAUUAUGGGCCUGAAAUUCAAAAGGACCUAGAGCCCAAUAUUGAGGCUCACUUUCUCAAGACAGCUCAUUUCGUUGUUGGGCUCAAUGGGAAUCCCAAGCACCUCAUAGUUUGGGGCUUAAUUUGCGUGAAGCACGACUGGGCCCAGGAAUCAGCACAUUCAAGGACCAUAAUGAGUUUAUGCUCACCUAAAAAUCGGAUAAUUGACUAAAUAAGCGAACCUCUUUAAUAUUAACUUGUUGCAACCAAUGUUUAGCCUAUCUAAUUGUGUUCCACAUUUGUUUAUCUCGUGACAGUCCAAAUACAUGAGCUUUAACCGAAUUCUCAUUCGGGAACCAAAAACAGAAUCACAGCAAGCUUUUGAAAUAAUUCAAGCGUACUUCAUCAUGUAGGCCAAAUCAAUUGUGGACUCCAACAGUUCUUCACCAUAUCAUGUGACCUCCAAUAAUCUCAAAUAGGUUUAGGGAAAUUAAUUCAACUGUGAACUUUCCUAGAAUGACUAAUUUACUAUCGUGGUUAUGUACACGUUCGCGUGACAUAAUUACGAUUUCUAAAAUUAAAUCAAGGUUGCGCGACCAAAUAAUUAUAAAUUAAUAAAGCGUAAUUAAUUGUGUAUACGUACGCGUGAUAUGGUUUUAGCACCCCAAAUAAAGCGGACUUACACACAUGUAGUCCGUUUCAAAGAUUAAAUCCAUAAACGUCAUAAUUUAAAAGCGGUAAAAGGUUAAAUACACAUAGGUUCUCAAAUAUGUAAUUAAACAAUUUAAUUAGUCCAGAUAUGAUUAAAGCGGUCGUGCUAAAAUCACGGAAUCCGGGAGUGCCUAACAUCUUCUCCCGGGUUAACAAAAUUCCUUACCCGAUUUUCUGGUUUCGCGAACUUUUAAAACAGAGUCAAAAUUUCCUCGAUUUGGGAUUUAAAAUAAACCGGUGACUUGGAAUUCCAUAUAAUUAUCCCAAAUGGAGACUCUAAAUCAAAUAAAUAAUCUCAUUUCGAUUAAUGUCACUUUAAUUGGAAAAACUCCUUAUCCCUCGAGAAAAAGGAGGCGUGACAAGCUGCACCUGGACUUGGCCUUCUAAUGUCAGCUCAAGGAUCAGACACACUACAAGCCUUAUGUGACUCAGAUUGGGGAGGAUGUUUACAAACUAGGAGGUCUGUUACUGGCUAUCUAGUGAAGUUUGGCAAUGCUAUAGUGUCCUGGAAAUCCAAGAAGCAAGACACUAUUGCUAAAAGUUGAAGCAGAAUUUAGAAGCAUGACUUCAACUGUUGCAGAAAUAACCUGGCUAACUGGUUUGUAUAAAGAAAUAGGAGUAACUGUGCAAUAGCCUAUAGAUCUCUAAUGUGAUAGCAAAGCAGCCAUUUAGAUUGCAGUCAAUCCUAUAUUCCAUGAAAGGACAAAUCGACAUUGACUGUCAUUUUGUCUGGGAGAAAAUAGUUCAAGGAAUUUUAAACACAUCAUGUGUCUACCAAAGAGCAGCAGGCUGAUCUUCUGACUAAAAGCUUAGGGAAACUACAACAUGACUAUCUUGUAUCCAAGCUGGGGUUGAAAAACAAAUUUCAACCAUCAGCUUGAGGGAGGGUAUUGAAGAGUAAAGUUGUCAGUUAGGAAGUUAGUAGUCAGUUAGUUAGUUAGUAGUGACAGUAAGUUAUAGUAGUAGCAGCAAUUAGUGAAUAGUUGUAUAUGUAUGAGCUAUGUGGUGUAUUUGUAGUAAGAUCAAUUCAAUGAAAAAAUAGCUCAUUUUCUUCUGCUCAUCACUCUCUCUGUUCUCCUUCAUAUUCUUCAAUUGAUCCAUGAGAACUUGCUCUAGAUUUGAUCACAGUUUAUAUAUGAAAAUAAAUAUGGUUCUAAAGUAGUUUAAAAUUUGAUUAGCUAUAAUUUAAAUGUUUCUUGGCUAUACUGCAGUUAAUCUCAACUAUAAGUUUUUUUUUUUUUUUGCAGAAAAUCUAUAGUUUUAUCUUGUUUAUAUGAGAUAAUUCGAAGGUCGGGUGGCUUUCUUUUUUAAAAUGUUGAACACUCUUAACAAACAGUUGGGUUCAUCUUUCAUCUUUGGGUCAUAUAUAUUCUGAUGAUGUUAUUCCUAUCAUUUAUGCAUCCUACUUAAGUUGUAGUUCUAUCACGAAAAAUUAUCAUAUUACUAUACUAUAUUAUUGCCAAAUAUAAAAGAAAAUCUAAGACAAGAAAAAAUAAAGCGCAGAAAUCAAUUAAAUUCUAAUCAUCUCCAAAGUAUAACAAUUUCGUAAAAUAUAUUUCAGUUCAAUAACAAAUUGUAUAAGUAGAUGUAGCAGUAAGUGAACUUACAAUCAAUUGCGAGAGGCAAAUUAAGUAAACCAAGGAAUUAGCCGGACGAUCUAGAAUAGAUAGAUGGAUGGAAUAGUAGCUAGCAGUGUUAAGUCUCGAGAUACCAAACACAGUAUUAUCGCCAUGUCUCAAAAUACGAAUCCAUUCAAUAACUUAAAUCUCUUCAACCGCUAAAUGAAGUAAUGGCUAACACUCUCAAAUAUUCAAUAAACGAUUUCUGAGGAACAAUCUUAAGAAAUUUAGAUACUAAAAACCAAUUCUAUGUAAAAAAUAUCAGAAAACAUAUGUAUCAUCCUAUCCAUCAUAGAAUUGUCCGGCCAAUAAGUUUGGUGACACAUAAGAGGCCAAAGCAACGUUAGAAGCAGGGGCUCUUCAAACAGAGUGUAAAAGGUUUAUUUCUUUUGGUAGAUGGAGUACCCGGGCAUUCUCUUAUCUUCCCAUUCCUCUAGGCUUCUAUUUAUAGUCUGAAGGUUUGUGACCUUUAACAUUGUGUAUGAAGCGUUGUGCUAGUUUGUAGGCGUUUGGUUUUUGUUAAUUAGGUAAUUAGGUUUUAAUAAGUCAAUAGGGUAUUUAAGUACAUAACAAUGAUAACUAGGAUAUUGUAGUAAUUUAACUUUUAAGUUGGACGUUUCCUGUUCUUAAUAUAUUAAUUAAUUAAUAAUAAUAAUAGUAACAAUUAUUAUCAUUAUUAAUAUAGGAUCAGCUAUCUUAGUUCAAAGAUUGUGAAAACUAGAAUUGAAGUGUAGAUCAAAGAAAAACAAUCUAGGGCUUGAGAGCUUUUGAGAACGUUCUGGAGUAAGACAUUUCUUCUAUUAGUCAAAAUGGCAAAAGCUGUAAAAUGAGCAUCAAGUCACCUAUUUAUACAAUGGGCCAAAGUGAAAAAUAAAACUAAACUAACAGACCACUUUUAGGCCCAAAUACAAAAUACACAUAAAUAAUCUACACAAGCCCAAUACUAAUUGUGUUCACUAUGUCACUCCAACAUCCUCCUCAAGUUGGCGGGUGAGCCACUUUUAGGCCCAAAUACAAAAAUACACAUAAAUAAUCAUCACAAGCCUAAUACUAAUUGUGUUCACUAUGUCACUCCAACAUCCCCCUCAAGUUGGAGGGUGAGCAAUUGCCCAACUUGCCAGCUAAAGAAUGAUGAGGAACACCUGUCAAACACUUGGUAAAGAUGUCAGCUAAUUGCAAAGCAGUAGGAAUGUGAGACAGAGAUUAAUCCAUCAGCUCGCUUAGUGCGUAUAAAAUGGCAGUCAACCUCUAUGUGCUUCGUUCUUUCAUGAAAAACUGGAUUGCUUGCUAUAUGAUUGCAGCUUGAUUGUCACAAAAAACUGGAAUAGGUGCAGAGAAUAUCAAACCCAAAUCUGAUAGCAAACGAACCAACCAAGACAAUUCAGCAACAACCUUACUCAGGGCACGAUAUUCAGCCUCCGCGGAUGAUAAGGAAACUACAUGUUGUUAUUUGGACUUCCAACUAAUCAGACUACCACCCAAGGUGACACAAAAACAACUAACUGAACGUCGUGAAUCCGGGCAUGUAGCCCAAUCACUGUCACAAUAACCAACUAAAGAAAAGUCAGCAGAGUUAUUCAAGAAAAGUCCAGCUUCAGAAGUCCCUUUUAGGUAUCACAGAACAUGUAGAGCUGCAGUCAUGUGGGGGACUCUAGGAGAUUGAAGGAAUUGACUAAGAUGUUGAACAGCAAAGCAAAGGUCUGGACGAUUGUGUGUAAGAAAAUUAAGUUUCCCAAUAAGACUCCUAUAUGUAUCAGGCUUAGGUAAAAGCUCUCCAACAUUAGACUUCAGUUUGACAGUUAAAUCCAAAGGACAUAUAACAGAAGAAGCUUCAGAACAACUAAAUUCAUCCAAAAGCUCAGAAAUGAACUUUUUUUGGUGCAACAGAACACCAGACUGAUAAUAAUGAAUCUGUAUUCCCAAAAAAUAGUUAAGAAGCCCUAGAUCCUUUAUUCAGAAUUGCUCAUCCAAAAAGUCUUUUAAUGUUGAAAUUUUGGUCAAAUCAUUACUAGUUAAGAUGAUAUCAUCUACAUACACAGCAAGAAAAACAAUAGAGUUCUCUGAUCGUCUCACAAACAAAGAAUAAUCAUUUAAAGAAUAGGUAUAACCUCUGGAACAAAGUGCUUGGGACAACUUGGCAUACUAUUGUCUAGAGGCUUGUCGAAACCAUAAAAUGAUUUGUUUAAUUUGCAUACCAGAUGAGGAAUAGAAAUGGUAGCUGCAGCAGAGGAAGAGACAACAGACAACCCUUGGGGAAGUUUCAUAUACACUUCUUCAUUCAAAUCACCAUGCAAAAAGGCAUUGUUAACAUCUAGUUGAAAAAGAGACCAUGAUUAUUUAACUACAUAAGUAAUGAGACAUCUAAUAGUGCACAUUUUUACUAUAGGGGAGAAGGUCUCAUGAAAAUCAAUGGCUUCUACCUGUGUAUCCCCCCUCACAACUAGCCUCAUUUUGCAUCUUUCUACACUCUCAUCAGCCUUAUAUUUGAUCUUAUACACCCACUUGCAACCAAUUGCUUUCUUCCCCUUUGGUAGCUCAGCAAUUUCCCAAGUCUUAUUUGCUUCCAAUGCCUUAAACUCCUUCCUCAUGGCUUCCUGCCAAGAUGGACUAGUAGCAGCCUGAGUAUAUGAGUGGGGCUCAACUGCAACAGUUGAUGCAACAGAAGUGGAGGUAGCAGAAGAACAAGAAAUAGAUGGAGGAAGCUAAACCACGUAAUCUUGAAGGUGGGAAGGAAGCUGACGAGAUCUAGUGGAUCUCCUUAGCUCAGGGAGAGGAGCAGCAGGGGAAGGAACUGGUUCGGAUGGGACAGAAAUAAGGAAGGAUGGAGGAUCAGAUCCAGAAUAUAACAAGGAAGAAUUGAAAGAAGUAGGGGAAACAGAGGAAAUAGGAGUGGAAGAAGGGAAAGAGUCCAUAGUCUCAUUGAAAAUAGUGGAAGGAAUAAGAGAUGGAGAGGUAAGAGAGGGAGAGGAAUUAAGAUGAAGAGGGAAAAUAGACUCAUGAAAAAUGACAUCCCUAGAGACAAAAACAGAUUUGGUGUGCAAGUUAUAAAGCUUAUACCCCUUCUUGCCAAAAGGAUAACCAAUAAAAACAGAAGGAACAUCCCUUGGUUGGAAUUUAUGUCUAUGACAUUUAGGCACGAUUGCAUAACAUAGACAUCCAAAAGGUUUUAAGUGAAUGUAAGAAGGAACGGUACCAUAUAACAUUUCAAAUGGUGUCUUAUUGGAUAGGACAGAAGAGGGAAACCUAUUUAAAAGAUACGUAGCCGUUAACACACAAUCCCCCCCAAAACUUUGGUGGAAGUUUGGAUUGAAAUAAUAAAGCUCUAGAUGUUUCCAAUAAAUAUUUGUGUUUUCUUUCAACACCACCAUUUUAUUGAGGUGUGUGAACACAAGUUGUUUGGUGUAAGAUUCCAUUGUCAGAAAAAAAUUGGCAAGAGUUAGAAGAACCAUGUUCCAGGGCAUUGUCACUUCUAAUUGUCUGGACAUGAAGGUUAAAUUGUAUCUUAACCAUUGCAAGGAAUGCUUUAAGAAGAGUAAAAGCAUUGCUCUUAGAAAAUAUUAAAUGUGUCCUAGUAGCUCUACAAUAGUUAAGAAAUAUCUAGCACCAGAAUAAGUUUGGGUAUGAUAAGGUCCCCAUGUAUCAAUAUGAAUAAGCUGAAAUAAAGAAGUAGAAAGAGAUGUGCCAUCUGGGAAGCGCAAUCUAGCUUGUCUAGCUAAAGUAUAGAUAGGACAAGUAAACGACUAUUUGGGAGACAAAUCAGAAGAUAUAGAAGAUAUACACUUCAUCUUCACAAAAGGCAUGUGACCCAUUCUGUGAUGCCAAAGUACAUCAAGUUUAUUCAAAGAAGCAGAAGAAGAAAACAUAGUGUCAUUCACUUGUUGUACAGUUUCAGUUAAAGAAGGAAUAGGAAAAACAUUCACACUGCUUACAACAAUAUUCAAGGCUGAACUAGGGACAUUAUCCAAACUUUUCACGGCAUUGUUCAAAGCAGAAGUAGAAAUUUGUAUCACAUUGUUUAAGGCAGAAUUAGAAGGGAAAUGAUAAAGCUUAUACAAUCCUUGGUCCAAUCUACCAAGUACCAGAAGCUUCUUCCUCGAAAGGUCCUUUAUCAAAUAGGAAGAAGUGAAAAGGACUAUACUGUUAAAUUGUUGAAUUAACCUGUAUACAGAAAUGAGGUUGUAUUUGAAAGUAGGAAUGUAAAGUACUUUGUGUAGAGUGAAAGUAGAAGAUAAAGUGAGUGAUCCUAUAUAAGCAACCUUCACUUUAUAUCCAUUAGGCAAAGUAACCAAGUAAGGGACAGAAAGAGGUGAUAUCAAUUAGAAGUUCUUUAUCAGGGGUCAUGUGGUAAGUCGCUCCCGAGUCUACUAUCCAAACACUUUUUGCCACACUGGUCAACAUGCAUGCAGAAUAAGCAACAUGAUUAAACUUAGGCAAAGGGAGAUUACUACCAACAAAGUUGGCAAAACCCAUAAGAUUGGGCUGAGUGGUGGAAGCAAGAAGAUUGGACUGUUGCAGCAGAUUCAUGAGCUGGGAGUAUUGUUCCUUAGUAAGACCAGGCACCAAAGAAUCCGGACUAGUGGAAGCACAUGGUGGACCAAAUUCAGGAUUCUCGGAAGAUGAAGACUCAGCAUUUGCAGCAGUACCAAAUUUUCUGCCCUUAGUAAACUUGAAAUGUUGAGAAAAUCCAUUCAAUUUGUAGCAUUUGUCAAUAGUAUGUCCACUCUUCUUACAGUAUUUACAAAAAAGAGAACCCUUGUUCUGUUCAAAAUUCACCCUCUGAUUAUUUGUAUCAAAAUUAACCUUCUAAUUGAAUUGUCUUUGUAGAGGAAAUUUAGUGGUUGCAUUGACAUUAAAGGAAGCCAGAUCAGGAGAAAAUUGAGUAUUAGGAAUCACUUGUCUUUGCUUUUCAUCUUGCAGAAGAAUGUUGUAUACACUAUUCAAGUGAAGGAAGUGGAUUCAUCAUCAGUAUAUUACUUCUUACAGUGACGUAUAUUUCAUUGAGACCCAUUAAAAACUGGUGGACUUUGUUCUCUUCAUCUUCCUUUAGGGAACCAUGUUUUGCAGCACAAGUACAAUUCUUAGCAUGAUCUGAUCCCAUGAUCUCCAGUUCAUCCCAAAGUUUUUUUAAUUUGUUAAAGUAUGAGGCUAUGUCAAGAGGGGUCUGGCAUGUGGAAGCCAAUUCUUUCUUUAUUUCAAAUUUUUUUGUCCCAUUAACCGUCCCAUAUCUAUUAUUUAACUGCUUCCAUGUACUUUCGGCGGUGUCAGAAUACUGUACACUCUCAGCAAUUUCAGGAGAAAGAGAACUGGUUAGCCAGGAAAUAACCAUAUUGUUACACCUAUCCCAUUGUUUGAACUAGGGAGAUCUUUCAGCUGGUUUAGGACAUGUACCAUCAAUGAAUCCUAUUUUAUUUUUGGAUGACAACGAUACAAUUAUGCUCCUUCUCCAUCCACCAAAACCAGACCCAGCAAAAGGAACAUUAACAAGUGACAUUCCAGGAACGUCGGAGGAGUGAAUGAAUAGAGGACUAGAAGAAUGAGGAGUAAAAUCAGAAUCACUAUCACUAGAGCUUCCCAUUUUUAGAGUAAAAUGAAACAGGAAAACUACUAACCCAGAAUACCAAAACAAUUAUCCGAAAAUCGGCAUCUACAUGAAUCAAAUCUACACAUGCAAAUACUAACAAUAGAAGAGCAAGUUUUUCAGAAUAACUCAGUCCGCAGUCAUAGAAGAAUAUGAAGAGUGUGAUAGUUUACCACCCUUCUUCGUAACCGAAAGACGCACAACCUUCAAUUAUCAAAAAAUCACAGCAACAGAUGAAGAGAAAUACCACCAAAACGCUGAUUGAGUGGAGAAAAGUGAAUGAGAACUCUGAAUCCCAUAAGAAAAAAAAUACCGGUGAACGACGAGCAGAGAAACCGACGAAACUCAGAAACUUCGGCGAAAUAGGUCGAGGGUACCACCGCUCGAAAGAUGAUGGUGAGAUAUCUCAAAAUCCUCACUCUGAUACCAUGUGAAAACUCGAAUUGAAGUGUAGAUCGAAGAAAAACAAUCUAGGGCUUGAGAGCUUUUGAGAACGUUCUGGAGUAAGACAUUUCUUCUAUUAGCCAAAAUGGCAAAAGUUGUAAAAUGAGCUUCAAGUCACCUACUUAUACAAUGGGCCAAAGUGAAAAAUAAAGGAAAUUUUGCAGAAAGCACCAUCUUUUAGUCCUAAUUAGUCAUUUAUAAAUACCUUUUGCUAUAUUACGCUCUAUAGAUAUCUUUUAUGUUUUUAUACAAUGUAUUUCAUGUAUUUAAACGGUUGUAUUCAUUAAUACAAGAAAAAAAAUAGGCAUAAAAACGGGAAAUCCAGCUAAGUGUUAUCUGUAUUUAACUGUAUUCAAGCGAAAUUUCAGCUGUAUUUAACUGUAUUCAAGCAAAAUUUCAGUGAAAUACAGUAACUUUUUUGCGCAAAUUAUGGGAACUUAAACUUGUUAAAAACGGAAGAAAAUCAAAUCACAUGAUAGUCUCCUAAUUUAACUCAAAGAACUAAAACGAGUACACACUAAUUUGUAUUUUGCUCAAAGAAAGCAACUCAAAAACGUGAAAAGAAGGAAAAACCAGAGCAACACAUCUGAUCGAACUUCUCAAUUCUCUUCUCCUUUUUUUCUAUUGAAUACAGCUUNNNNNNNNNNNNNNNNNNNNNNNNNNNNNNNNNNAUUUAGGGUGGGAGAAGAUUUAUGAAACGUAGGUUUGUGGGAGAAGAGGUUAAAGUAUAUGGAAGAAGAGAGAGAAAAGCUGGUAAGAGGAGAUAUACGCUAAUUAGGUGAGAGAAAAUAUAAAAAAUGAGAGAAAAAUAUUUUGUAGCAUAUAUGGUGCCUUAAUUGUAGGAUGGAACUAUAUUUAGAUUUUUUGCUAUAAACUAUAAAAGGUAUUUAUAGGAUGUAAUAUUUUAAAAUGGUAUUUAUUUAAUAUAAAUAGGGUACUAACCUAUUCUAUAGGUGGUAAACUAACAGACCACUUUUAGGCCCAAAUACAAAAAUACACAUAAAUAAGGGGCAUUUGCAUCUAUACCCGCUUUUUGGGUCACGUUUUAACUUGUGUCCGCUUUACAAAAAUAAUUGCAAGCGUACCCACUUUUUCGCGUAACUUCAGCAUACGAGGCUGAAGUAGCAAAGACAACCACGCAAAACUCCAGCAUUCUAGUAGACGGGACUGAAGUAGUAAGUGUGCUGAAGUUUUUAUUUGUAAUUGUUGAACUUAAGCAUAGUAGCUGAAAUUUUGUUCUCUAUUUGCUGAAGUUUUUGUUUGUAAUUGCUGAAAUUUUUAUUUUUGCAACUGGCGAACUUCAGCUCUAGAGCUGAUGUUUUUGUUUUUGUAACUGGCAAACUUCAGCUCUAGCGCUGAUGUUUUUGUUUUGUAACUGGCGAACGUGAAGUUUUUGUUUUGUAACUGGCGAACUUCAGCUCUAGAGCUCUAGGGGGCAUUUCGCGUCUCCUUUUGUUUAUCCUCAACUCUGCUUAUAUUCCCUACUGUCUGUUUCAUAAAUUUUAUGCUGGCAUGUUGUUUUGGUCCAGUUGGGUAACUAGUCCUCCCACUAUUGAGAAUUCCAUCUCAGUGAUAUUCCAGUAGUCCAUGCUCUUGGUUGUUCAUCUAAUGAUGCAGGAAUUGCAUCUGAUGUCUCUGUUCAGGUAUGUGAUGCAAAGAAAGACUUUCAAAGAGUAGGAAUUGAUAACUUGUAAACAAAACAAGAGAAGGUAACAUUUAAGAGUACACCAAGACAGAGAACUUGCCCCCUUGUUUGACGAAAUUCACCUUCCCGCCUAGUUUCAUGAACCUUACUUCUAGAAAAAAAAAA
This 12204-nucleotide long non-coding RNA is filed under the name Nicotiana tabacum (common tobacco). RNAcentral describes it as "long non-coding RNA (NTAB_LNC002307)". The record is from RNAcentral. Lineage: Eukaryota; Viridiplantae; Streptophyta; Magnoliopsida; Solanales; Solanaceae.